Molecule: long non-coding RNA, 367 nt
Filed under: Salvia miltiorrhiza (redroot sage)
Lineage: Eukaryota; Viridiplantae; Streptophyta; Magnoliopsida; Lamiales; Lamiaceae
Description: long non-coding RNA (SMIL_LNC001869)
Source: RNAcentral
UUCACUUUCACUUUCAUCUAGGGCUUGACAGUCAAAAAAACCGCAGUCGACGGAGGACCCAUCUGUGCAGUCGACGGAGGACCCAUCUGCACGCCGGCGACGAAGGACCCAUCUGCACGCCGGCGCCGAUCUGUGUUCUCCGGCGGCGGUUUCACAGAUCUGUGCAAGUGCUGAUCUGUGCAAGUGUCGAAAGUUCAAGGUUCGAAAUUUUCUUUCACCGAUCUGCACGGCGGCGGUUUUAGCGAUCUGAAAAAAUUGGUCUUCUUCGGCAUUCAGGAGGCGGCGGUGGAGGAAUUCCGAUAAAUCCAGGAGGCGGCGGCGUUAAGGAGGCGGCGGCGGCUGAGGCGUCCGAUUAUUCCAAGGAGGA